Long non-coding RNA from Mustela lutreola (European mink), 2064 nucleotides. RefSeq lists it as uncharacterized. The transcript is spliced from 3 exons. The record is from RefSeq and is a predicted model, not a curated record. Lineage: Eukaryota; Metazoa; Chordata; Mammalia; Carnivora; Mustelidae.
UUGAAGGUUCUGGAAGCCUUGCCCAGGCUUCCGGAUUUUGCCACAGAGCAGGGCGUGUGGGCUGGUCUGGCUUAGAUUUAACCAGAAAUCCAGAGGUCCCAGGGAGAGGUGUAUAGGAUGACUCCCCGCCCUGGGGGAGGGCAGGGAUGGACCCACAGCCCCCAGAGAGCACACGUGUGCUGGAAGAGGAGCCUUCCCCACAGGACAGAGGCUCCAUAAGCAUUUGUUGAAUUAACAAAAUAACUUGCUUUCCGGAAAACACCACUCUUGGGAGGGCGCUCAGACCUCCGGCACUACAGUCACUACCCUCAGAGACCCUAUCUGCUUGCCUUCUGACCGGAAUAUCCUGUGUUACCAUGGACAGCCCCAUGCUGACAGCUGCCUUCCUGGACUCAAGUGUCUCAUCCAGCUGCCCCAGUUGUGAUCACCUUGGGGCAUGCACCAUGACUUUGGACACAGCUGGUACAAUGCCUGGCACAGACAAGAAACUCUCAUUUUACCACCACCUACAACGAUCGCAUCUGUUGUGCUUGUACUAGACAUUCAGCCCUCUGAGAGAGGACCCCGGUGGGCUUUGUUCUCUGUUGGCCGCUCAGCAGGGAGAGCAGAACAGCGCUUGGCACACUAUGGGCUGCUCAGGAAAAGUAUUUCGAAUGAAUGUUUCAUAAAGGAGAGUGCCCUCGACACCUCGAAUAUCAGAGGUCAGAAAGCCCAGCUGGGAAGCCUGGCUUCUCUCAGGCUGGCCAUCUCCAUUGUGACUGUUUCCCCAACCAGUUCAAUUCAGCCUCUGCUGUUUGCAGCUGCAUGGUCAUCAGCAAACUUCUUAAGCCUUCUGGGCCUCCAUUUCUGCAUCUGUAAAGUGGGGCUGUUAUUAUUAGCCCCUUCCUUGCAGAGAUGUAAUCAUGUGAAAUGAAUGACUCCAAAAAACCUUAAGGAAGUGUCUGACUCAGAAGAGCCUCGAUCAAUGUCAUCUACCAUCACCAUCACCACCAUGAUUUGGCUGGGGUAGGCAGUGAAGAUGACAGAAUGGGCUCUGGGGUCCUACCAGAAGAUUAGGGGAUUAAUACCAUUUGCAAGGCCAACGCUAUCCCUGUUUGGUUUUGCCAACCUCUCGAUCCAUCCGUAAAAUAAACCGGAUGAAGCCUUUAUCCAUCUCUUGUUUUGAGAAGGAGGCUAGCAGGGAACGCGGAUUUAAUGUGGCAGAUGGUGCUGUCCUUGAAUUAUGAAACCAAAGGAGGAAAUGAAGGUGCUCGGUUGCAACAGCUACGGGCCAGCCAGAGUAGAGGCCAAGGGGUGAGGCUUCAAGGAGGGCAGAGGGUGUGUUGUAUCGUCCAAGCACUGGCUAUUCUUGAGGGCAGUGGGAGUCCUAGAAUAACAGAAUUUUAUAGCCUAAAAUAAUUUUAGGCCACCCCCUUCAUUUUAUAUAGGCAAACGAGGCCCAGAGAGGGAAAGUAACCCCCAAUGUCACACAGUGAGUGGCAGAACAAUCCACACUGGGAUUCCUUGAACAGGGUUCUUUAAUGGCUCCAGGCCACAGCCAGCAGCAAACCCUGUUCCACCGCAUCCUGCCUUUGGGCUCCUCUGCUCUGCACCCAUGACCCCUCUCAGCAUCUCAGGGCGAAUAUGAGUCAGAGCCCUGGAGCCAUUCGAGCUGGUUCUGCAACAAACAGGAGCCAGUUUCAUACCUCCUGGAAACUCAGUUACCUUGUCUGUCAAAUGGGAAUAAUCCUAAGUGGUCACUGUGAGUAUCUGAUGGAUGACUAUCACGGACAAUAUUUAGCCUGGGCAUUGGUGCAAAGUAAAUGCUCAAUAAAAUAUAAGUACCUAUUGUGGAGCCAGAAGAGACUUCAGGUUCUAAUGGUUCCCUGAGGUUGUGAGCCCCUCAGAGGGCGUGCCCUGGGUAUUUAUGGGACAUCUUUUGCGCUCUGCACCUUGCAGAGCAACUGACACCUACUGAGGACCCCUGUAAAUGGUCGUGGCCAGCGACAGGCUCCUCCAGGGACGCCCAUGUCUCAGUCGGCACCAUGACGAAGCCCAGGGACUGCCGCCAGCAAUGCAUGCGAC